Molecule: non-coding RNA, 2112 nt
Organism: Camellia sinensis
Lineage: Eukaryota; Viridiplantae; Streptophyta; Magnoliopsida; Ericales; Theaceae
Source: RefSeq, a predicted model, not a curated record
AGCAAUUGGCAUUUUAGGAUAGAAAUUUGUGUACUUUGCAAAUCCUUAGAGCCUAGUGUCAAGAGAAAAUUGAGAAACUAAUUGGCAUGAGUAGUAUUUUAUUUUUGAGUUACUGCUUAUGUCUACAAAUUGGCUUUCAUACUUAACCAAAAAAAGAAAAGAAAAAGAAAAGAAAAAACAAGAAUAGGGUUAAGUUAGUAGUUUAUUGGUGGUAGUUGCUACAUAAUUGAUGUCUGUUGGGCUAUAUAUAAUAAAUCCACGUGUUUUUUGCGAGAUAAAUAUGGACCUUUUUUUAUUCACUGGCAACUGAGCAGCGAGUAGUAACACAAGUGAUGAAGACUAAAGAAUUCCUCAACUGAACAGUGUGUCAGCAACCAGGUUUGUUUUGGUUUUUAUUUUUUUCAUUUAUCCUUUUCGAUGUUGUGAUGCAAAGCGUCAUUCUUUGGAAGCUGACAUGGGCAUGGAGAUGGAAGGUGAUGGGCGUGCCCGCAUAUCUUCAACUCGAUCUGGAAGCAGAUCUCGUCUUGCCUCCUGCACCAGCUGGCAGAGUCGACAACCAGGUAAUUUCUAAUCUCAGUUGUCACUCAAGAAUAAAUUCACUUACAUUGCUACAAUUUCUUGGAAAUGGAUAUCGUAUUUCAUGAGUAAAAGAUCGAAAUUAUUCUGUUGACACGGCUUCUACAUGUUCCAAUUAGUAUGGUGUUAGAAUUGUAUGAUGCACGAUUCAAUUCAUACAAUUUAAUAAGAGUUUCAACCAAAAUUAUUUGAAUUGUGUUGUUUGAAAAUUGGGUGUCCUGUUGAAUUGAGAAUUGAGUAGUUCGUCUAUGUUUUUGUUUACAUAAUGUAUUGAAAUGAUGCCUUUUUCUGUUACUCUACGAUGAAACAAAAAUAGGACAAUUGCUUAUAUUCAUAUACGUGGUUAUAUAUAAUUUAUUUAUAUUGAUACUAUGUAGUAUUUGACUUUGAUUGCUACAGUGUUCCCACAUAUGUGUGAGGUUUGGAAAUUCCUUUCCAAUAAUUCGGGCUAUAUUUGAUAAGCAUCCCGCGGAUCUUGUAUGAGAAGGAAAUAAGAAAUGGAAAAAAAAAAAAAAACUUUGUUUAUAGUUUCAUGUGGAAAAAACAUGCAAAGAGCGAACUGCUAAUACAUGUAUUAUCUUAUGCAAUUUUAUCUUUUCUUUUGUGGAAAUUUUGUAUUUCAUUUGUUGUGACGGGUUAUAGAAACCAAAAACUCACUUUCGUAGUUUUUAGAUAAUUAGAGAUUGACAAUUCCAACUUCCUUUACUUCAUUCAAAAAGUUGUUCAGAAUAAUUGAUCAGAAUUAUUUUGAGGAACCGGUUUGUGCAUAUUAUUCAAGAUAAUUUUACUUUUAGGAGCAGUUAGUUUUUCGUUUGUAUUUUUUUUUUCCUUUGUGUUUUUGGCUCUAACCCCUUGCAGCCAAUGACACAUAGAGACAUGGUUAAUCAUUUAAGGUAAUCUCCUAUACUUUUUAAUUUUAUUUUUUACAUUCAAGACAAUGCAUCGUUUAGGUUGGGGGCAGAAAAUACUUAUUUUGAGAAGAAUUUAUAUAUUUGCUUACUGCUAUGAGUUAGUUGUUUUGUUUUUUUUUAAAAAAAAAGUUAGUGCUCAUGGUAAUCUUUUGUUCUAUACAUUGGGUGAUUGGGCAUACUUGUGGUAUUUUAUUGCUUUCACUCGAGAAUUGUGUUGAAGUUUGAUAUGCUAGCUACUUUGUUACAGCAUUCCAUGUGUUCAAAUUUGGAAAUCAUUGCACUACACUUCUGCCACAUGUAUAUGAUUUUUAGUUGAUAAGUGGAUAUGACUUGAACAUCUUGAAGAAUGAUAGUGGAGACUUUUAACCCUGUGAGUUUUGUGCCAAUCAUUUAUUAGAGAGUUAUUAUACAUCUAGUCUUAAUUUUUCUUUGGAAACGCAUUAAUUUAUUGUUUAGUCUCAUUAUUUUUUCAUUUUUGGUUGAAUGCUUAGAAUAAAUCAAUUUGUUAUCAUACUUUUACUCCCUCGAGGACAAUGCAUCGUUCAGGUUGGGGGGAGAAAAUACUUAUCUUGAGAAGAAUUUAUAUGUUGCUUGCUACAAUGAGUUAGUUGUUUUGUUUAAAAAA